This is a long non-coding RNA of Xenopus laevis (African clawed frog), 655 nucleotides long. RefSeq lists it as uncharacterized. The transcript is spliced from 4 exons. The record is from RefSeq and is a predicted model, not a curated record. Lineage: Eukaryota; Metazoa; Chordata; Amphibia; Anura; Pipidae.
CUACAUAGACCCCCAUUUCUGCUCUCCCUCAACCUAACUGUUACCUUCGAUAAAUGCCCCUAACUCUUUACUUACCUCUCUUUGCAGAUUCAGCACAGUGGAGCUCACCUGAGCCAUCUUCUUUGGGAAAUAAGUGCCGUAUAGGCCCAUGUGCAGUUUGAGCAGUCUUCCGUUUUUUCCGCAUGUGCCGAAAUUGAUGGAAAUUGCCGAAGCGCCAGAAGAAGAUGAGCUCCGCUGCACUGAAUCUGCAAAGAGAGAUUCGCUGCACAGGUAAGGGACCAGAUUUCCAGAAUUCUCAGGGGUACAUAUCCCAUACCUGUACGACAUGUAACACAAUUGUGCCUUUCAGACUCAAGAAUGACACUGGAUUUUUCACUUGGGCACCUGGACAAGAAAGCUGCUUAUAACAUCUGACAGGAUCAAUCUAAAGAACCUGUGAUAGAAAAUCUGAAACCUCAGGUAAAGUAACAUUUUUUUUAACACAAAUAUUAUUAAUAUAUAACAUUUUUAACACAGUUACUUUGCCUUGGGUUUAGUUAACAUAAGCAAUAAUAUUUUCUCUCUCUUAUCUAGAAUCAGAAAUUAGACAUUGUCCAGGAUAAUACAUCAGAAGAAAGCUAUAGCAGCUCCAGUAGUGAGGAUUUGUUUCCAUAGA